Poecilia reticulata (guppy) is the source of this 660-nucleotide non-coding RNA. NCBI's taxonomy places the organism in Eukaryota, Metazoa, Chordata, Actinopteri, Cyprinodontiformes, Poeciliidae. The record is from RefSeq and is a predicted model, not a curated record.
UGGACUCAUGGAAAACCGGAGCGGGCCUUAGUUACAGAAACUUGUAAGCUGUCAAAAUAUUUGAAGCAAAACCACUGGAAGAGAAGAGAGCGCAGAGGACAGAGAGAGAGAGAGAGAUAGACGCUGCAGAAAGGCGGCACAGCAAUCCCCUCGUCUGGAUGUUCCGCCUCUGCCAUCGCCAUGAGAACUCGCCCCGCGGUCAAUCAAAGAGCCAUUCAACCUCGGAGAAUAAGCCAAUGCCGCGCCUGGCACCUGGGCUCUCUUACAGGCACACAGGCCAGCAGCGAUUUUUGCCUGGGAACUUUCCCACGGAUGCAGGACCUGCCAAGCCUCUGGCUUAUUACUGAAGAAUGAACUGACCUCAGCUGAAGCAGGUUCAAGCCAAGUGGGAGUGUCUCCAUUGGCAACGUGUUCUUCACUCUAGUCGGUCUGAAUACAGGCAGGAACGUUGGAACGUGAGCGGGUCAACAGUGCGGUGGCGAACCUCAACGUUGUGGUUCUGAUGGACUCAGAUAAACUCAGAUGUUUCUCUUUGCUUUUGAAAGACAAGCAACCAAAAGUGUCAAGAAGUUAAAAUUAAAGCCUAAAAUGAUUAUGUUACACGUUGACUUCCAUCUGUCUGUUAUCCUUGACUGUCUCAAAUAAACCCAAUGUAUUUCA